Molecule: ribosomal RNA, 233 nt
Filed under: uncultured bacterium
Lineage: Bacteria
Description: partial 16S ribosomal RNA
Rfam family: Bacterial small subunit ribosomal RNA
Source: RNAcentral
GCACAAGCAGUGGAGUAUGUGGUUUAAUUCGAAGCAACGCGAAGAACCUUACCAGGUCUUGACAUCCGAUGCAUAGCACAGAGAUGUGUGAAAUCCUUCGGGACAUCGAGACAGGUGGUGCAUGGUUGUCGUCAGCUCGUGUCGUGAGAUGUUGGGUUAAGUCCCGCAACGAGCGCAACCCUUAUUGCCAGUUACUACGCAAGAGGACUCUGGCGAGACUGCCGUUGACAAAA